RNAcentral lists this ribosomal RNA (200 nucleotides) under Vibrio parahaemolyticus. RNAcentral's name for it is "partial 23S ribosomal RNA". It matches the Rfam family "Bacterial large subunit ribosomal RNA", at positions 1585 to 1783 of the family's 2925-position model. The record is from RNAcentral. Lineage: Bacteria; Pseudomonadati; Pseudomonadota; Gammaproteobacteria; Vibrionales; Vibrionaceae.
GUGAAGUCAUUGAUGCCAUGCUUCCAGGAAAAGCCUCUAAGCUUCAGAUUGUAAGGAAUCGUACCCCAAACCGACACAGGUGGUCGGGUAGAGAAUACCAAGGCGCUUGAGAGAACUCGGGUGAAGGAACUAGGCAAAAUGGUACCGUAACUUCGGGAGAAGGUACGCUCUCGACGGUGAAGUCCCUUGCGGAUGGAGCU